AGAUCCACAUCUCGUGUAGACUUUAUCACAAUUUAUACAUAUAUUCCUUAGAUUAAUAAUUUAUGACACGCAUCCUAUAUUAACUUGCAACAUAAAAUGUUGUAGUUUCGAAGAACAAUGUAUUUUUUAGGUAAAAUACUGAAGAUGACGUAUAUUCGGGUUGAAGGGACGAUUUUGAUUUUCUAGCAAUUUUUUAAUUUUCCUGUAUGGUAUCCCGAUUUAACUGUAUUUUUUAUGAUUUGUAAAAUGCUAACUUAUAGUAUCACAUCUUCUUGGCAACCCUAAAGGUAAUGAG
RNAcentral lists this long non-coding RNA (295 nucleotides) under Capsella rubella. RNAcentral describes it as "long non-coding RNA (CRUB_LNC002090)". The record is from RNAcentral. Lineage: Eukaryota; Viridiplantae; Streptophyta; Magnoliopsida; Brassicales; Brassicaceae.